UAUGUCAACAUUGAAUAAAGAAAAUCAAUAAGUCUGUCAGAAACUAAAAAAUUUUGUGUCAAAAAAAAAGCAAAAUAACAGAGUAAUAUGAUUUAAUUUCCAUCGUAACAUUUAAUAUCAUGGAGUAACCUUUUAUGGCACCAAUGUCUCAUCCGCCCUGUACGCCGUCGGCGUCAUGUACCCCCAUCCGAUGUCACCCUACUCCACCCCCAUGUCAAAAUCCGGAAAAAUGCCUCAAGAAAACCACUUCGAAAGGCAUAAAGCCAUGCCGGAGCGCGGUAUCCAUAAUGUCAACUCGCUCCAAAGCUAAAUGCGGCAGUUGUGGAAAAUUAAAAUCUUCCGACCCGCGAAGCGUAAAGGAAGUAGAGAAGUUCCUCAGUAGGAAGUCAAAAGAAGCAAAAAUGAGAAAAAAUGAUCGCCUAACGGGGAGCAAGUCCUACCUUAACUACACCAAAAAGAAAGGGUCUCCGAGAUCAGAUGCGGAUUGCUGUCUUGGAAAGGGUCAUCGAGGGAGAGUGUCGAGACCCCGGAAAUGUUGUACAAUAUUGUAACUUCUGGUUUAUCAAACAAAUUUGUAGAUCUCAUAAAGAUUUAAUUAAAUACUUAAAUAUUUGAUUUUUAAGCUAUGUAACUGUUUAAAUAAACGAUUCAUGAACUAA
Molecule: long non-coding RNA, 659 nt
Organism: Pieris napi
Lineage: Eukaryota; Metazoa; Arthropoda; Insecta; Lepidoptera; Pieridae
Exons: 2
Source: RefSeq, a predicted model, not a curated record